Apis mellifera (honey bee) is the source of this 761-nucleotide long non-coding RNA. RefSeq lists it as uncharacterized. The transcript is spliced from 2 exons. NCBI's taxonomy places the organism in Eukaryota, Metazoa, Arthropoda, Insecta, Hymenoptera, Apidae. The record is from RefSeq and is a predicted model, not a curated record.
UUACUUUUGAAAAAUAAAAAAGCAAUCUUUUUUCGCAUAUAACGUAAAAUUCACUCCAAUCCUUUCGGAGCAUGUUCAACUGCGAUCUAGCGGCACUCCCAGUUACGGUGAAUUUCUAAAGAAUAAAAAGAAUCACGUUUUGAUGGUGUAAUCUUGUCAUCGUGUCAAAGUAGUAACAUGAACUCAAACCACAUUCUAUCACGAAAGUACAGUGGUUUUUGGAUAAAGAACUUAUACAGAUGUAAUAAACGCACAUAUUCAUGAAUACGGCCGUGAGGAACAACAUAAUCUCUAUGUUGCAUCCUCAAUUUGCCAACAUGGAUAAACACGCACACGCGAUACGGACACUCACCACUAACGUAUAAGAUCAUGCAUCGCGAUUGUUGCGGAAUGGUUGUUCACUCUGCGAACGAACCGUCGUGAUGCUACGCAGGAUUUUACAGACGCUCGUACCGGGAUUCGAUCAAAACUAACAUUCUUAUUUUCCUAUUUAUCUCCAUUUCUUCGUUAUUAUUAACGAAGGUCAGUUAAAAAAAUGAAGAAAUAGUUAAUCUUAAUUAACGAACAGAAGUAUUCGUUAUAACAUCCAUUUUACAAACACAGUUUACAUCUGAUGUGAAAUGGAAAGUCUCCACAGCCACCUUUAUCACUAAAAGCACCAUUCACAAUGACGCAUUUGCAUCACGUCUAUUUGUGCUUCUAACUACUACUGUUGGCAACAUUUAUGUGUAUUUCCUCUAGAAAAUCUACUAAUUCAUUUA